AUUGAACGCUGGCGGAAUGCUUUACACAUGCAAGUCGAACGGCAGCACGGGGGCAACCCUGGUGGCGAGUGGCGAACGGGAGAGUAAUACAUCGGAACGUGCCCAGUCGUGGGGUAUAACGUAGCGAAAGUUACGCUAAUACCGCAUACGAUCUACGGAUGAAAGCGGGGGACCGUAAGGCCUCGCGCGAUUGGAGCGGCCGAUGUCAGAUUAGGUAGUUGGUGAGGUAAAGGCUCACCAAGCCGACGAUCUGUAGCUGGUCUGAGAGGACGACCAGCCACAAUGGGACAAGAACGCGGCCCAGACGCAUACGGGAGGCAGCAGUGGGUAAUUUUGGACAAUGGGCGCAAGCCUGAUCCAGCCAUUCCGCGUGCAGGACGAAGGCCUUCGGGUUGUAAACUGCUAUUGUACGGAACGAAAAGGCUCUGGUUAAUACCUGGGGCUCAAGACGGUACCGUAAGAAUAAGCACCGGCUAACUACGUGCCAGCAGCCGCAGUAA
This 500-nucleotide ribosomal RNA is filed under the name uncultured bacterium. RNAcentral describes it as "partial 16S ribosomal RNA". It matches the Rfam family "Bacterial small subunit ribosomal RNA", at positions 29 to 523 of the family's 1533-position model. The record is from RNAcentral.